AAUAAAAAAUAAAAAAUAAAAAAAGAGGGAAGAAUUGAGGACUAUUUCAAUUGAGUGAAAAAAGUAAUUGCUAAGCUUUUAGUCAAGCAGCUGGAGUCCAUACUACAAAGUCCUACGACUAAAAAUUACCUUUUAAAGAAGGACAUUUGGUUUCAAAACACAUAUGAAGAGCAAACAGUCAUACAGUAGCAUCACAUGACUUUUGUCAUACCUAGAGAUUUUACACAAAGGAAUGGCAUCCUUUGUAGCAAUUUUCAUGCCAAGAUUUCAAUAUCAUGAUGUUAAAAUAUCCAUGCUGCAUCUCCAUAGAAAGAUCAAACAUUACGAUGAAUUAAUGCUUAUGAAGGUUUUCAUAGGUCCAAUAUUAAGUAUGGCCCACUACAAUUCAAGUUCUGCAUAAAUCUUUAAGCAAGUUUGUCAAUCAGCACAGGAUACACCACAGAAUUUAUGAAUUUGGCAAAAAUUGAAAUGGAAGAAAAAACAAGAUUCUGUUCUACCACUCAAGAGAAAAUCCCAUUCUUGCAUUCUACAAUUAAAGUCUUUAAUCCACACUGAGAAAAAAAACCCAAUCACAGAGACAAAAAAAACACCAAUCAAAUAAAUGUAAGCUGUAUUUUCAACUGGCAUUUUACUUGACUUAUAUAAUCUCUAUGUCAACAUCUGCAGCAGAAUUGCAUAUUACAUUUGCACAUAGACACAUAAAAUGAAAUUCAGACCAGCAAACCAGCCUAAUUCGGGUUAGAGGAGCAAUAUCCACAGUGGAGACACAAAUUAGGUAGCUACUGCCCACAAGUCAGUAUUCCUUUUGCCUAUUCUUUUAUUGUUUCUUUUCACCAAGAACCAUUUUGUCCAAAGUUUUACAGAAAACAGGAAGAUAAACUGGCCAAUUAACAAGUCCUUACAAUCCACAGAACAAAUGUCGCUAAAAUUUUAAUUAUAUAUAUAAAAAAAUUAGGAAUAUCCUCCUUGCUUCAUUGAUAUAGCCUUCCAAUCAAAACACGCACUGAAAUGUAGACAAGUAACAUUACAAAGUAAAUCAGAGAAAUGCUUUAGAAGAAAAAAAAUAGGUAUUCUAAUUCCAAACAGAACAUGACUGAAAAAUCACAAUCAGUCAUAAUCACCAUAAAUCUGAACUUGAUCACUAGAUAAUGAAAUCUCGCUUAAACUUAAUAUCAACAUAAACCCGAUCAUUUAAUAAAAACUGAGUGUGAAAUUUUGUAAACAAAGGAAAAGGCAAAAUCAAAAUGAGAAAAACACGAGUUUGAAAAGGAGGAGGAGGAGAAAUACUAGAAAGCGGUGUAGCGAGAGAAGCCAUUGGCAGAGGCCAUAAUUCCAAUAGAAGCAGCGGCAAAUGCACAUUGCCCUAUUCUCAGUACUAGCCCACUCACAGUUCCUGGACUCCCUAUCAAUUCCUUCAUUUU
Molecule: unclassified non-coding RNA, 1421 nt
Filed under: Hevea brasiliensis (rubber tree)
Lineage: Eukaryota; Viridiplantae; Streptophyta; Magnoliopsida; Malpighiales; Euphorbiaceae
Source: RNAcentral